RNAcentral lists this ribosomal RNA (288 nucleotides) under Triticum aestivum (bread wheat). RNAcentral describes it as "partial small subunit ribosomal RNA". Lineage: Eukaryota; Viridiplantae; Streptophyta; Magnoliopsida; Poales; Poaceae. The record is from RNAcentral.
AUGAUGGUGCUGGACGUUCCGCUUAAGACACUUGCGGCAAUGACCAAGGUCUGCAGGGGGUUGUUAUGGUGCGGCAAGGCUCAGGCCAAAGGUGGAAAAUGUGUGGUGGCAUGGGAUACCAUGUGCACCCCCAAGUGGGCGGGAGGCCUAGGAAUCCCCAACCUCAGAUGGUUGAACAUAGAAAUGGGAUUAAUGGAGGAGCAGUUACUGGAGUUUUUCACUCAAUGGGAUCGCGUCGCCACGGUGAACCUUGAGGGCACGGACAUGGUCCAGUGGGCCUGGGAGUAG